This 486-nucleotide ribosomal RNA is filed under the name uncultured bacterium. RNAcentral describes it as "partial 16S ribosomal RNA". It matches the Rfam family "Bacterial small subunit ribosomal RNA", at positions 30 to 507 of the family's 1533-position model. The record is from RNAcentral.
AUUGAACGCUGGCGGCAUGCCUUACACAUGCAAGUCGAACGGCAGCACGGGUGCUUGCCCCUGGUGGCGAGUGGCGAACGGGUGAGUAAUACAUCGGAACAUGUCCUGUAGUGGGGGAUAGCCCGGCGAAAGCCGGAUUAAUACCGCAUACGAUCUACGGAUGAAAGCGGGGGACCUUCGGGCCUCGCGCUAUAGGGUUGGCCGAUGGCUGAUUAGCUAGUUGGUGGGGUAAAGGCCUACCAAGGCGGCGAUCAGUAGCUGGUCUGAGAGGACGACCAGCCACACUGGGACUGAGACACGGCCCAGACUCCUACGGGAGGCAGCAGUGGGGAAUUUUGGACAAUGGGCGAAAGCCUGAUCCAGCAAUGCCGCGUGUGUGAAGAAGGCCUUCGGGUUGUAAAGCACUUUUGUCCGGAAAGAAAUCCUUGGCCCUAAUACGGUCGGGGGAUGACGGUACCGGAAGAAUAAGCACCGGCUAACUACGUG